This 474-nucleotide ribosomal RNA is filed under the name uncultured bacterium. Its description in RNAcentral is "bacterial SSU rRNA". It matches the Rfam family "Bacterial small subunit ribosomal RNA", at positions 8 to 526 of the family's 1533-position model. The record is from RNAcentral.
AGAGUUUGAUCAUGGCUCAGAAUCAACGCUGGCGGCGUGCCUCAGACAUGCAAGUCGAACGCGAAAGUCUUCGGAUGAGUAGAGUGGCGCACGGGUGAGUAACACGUAGGUAAUCUACCUCUGAGUGGGGAAUAACUUAGGGAAACUUAAGCUAAUACCGCAUAUGCGGAAAGCAGCAAUGCGCUUAGAGAGGAGCCUGCGGCAGAUUAGCUAGUUGGUAAGGUAAUGGCUUACCAAGGCGACGAUCUGUAGCCGGCCUGAGAGGGCGGUCGGCCACACUGACACUGAAUAACGGGUCAGACUCCUACGGGAGGCAGCAGUCGGGAAUUUUGGGCAAUGGGGGAAACCCUGACCCAGCAACGCCGCGUGAAGGAUGAAGUCUUUCGGGAUGUAAACUUUGAAAGAAUGGGAAGAAGUUCUGACGGUACCAUUUAUAAGCCCCGGCUAACUCCGUGCCAGCCGCCGCGGUAAUAC